GACGAACGCUGGCGGCGUGCUUAACACAUGCAAGUCGAGCGGUAAGGCCCUUUCGGGGGUACACGAGCGGCGAACGGGUGAGUAACACGUGGGUGACCUGCCCUCAGCUCUGGGAUAAGCCUGGGAAACCGGGUCUAAUACUGGAUAUGACUCCAUGACGCAUGUUGUGGGGUGGAAAGCCUUGUGCGGCUGAGGAUGGGCCCGCGGCCUAUCAGCUUGUUGGUGGGGUGANGGCCUACCAAGGCGACGACGGGUAGCCGGCCUGAGAGGGCGACCGGCCACACUGGGACUGAGACACGGCCCAGACUCCUACGGGAGGCAGCAGUGGGGAAUCUUGCGCAAUGGGACGAAAGCCCUGACGCAGCGACGCCGCGUGAGGGAUGACGGCCUGGUU
This 394-nucleotide ribosomal RNA is filed under the name uncultured bacterium. RNAcentral describes it as "bacterial SSU rRNA". It matches the Rfam family "Bacterial small subunit ribosomal RNA", at positions 28 to 424 of the family's 1533-position model. The record is from RNAcentral.